RNAcentral lists this ribosomal RNA (515 nucleotides) under Pteridomonas danica. Its description in RNAcentral is "partial Bacterial large subunit ribosomal RNA". It matches the Rfam family "Bacterial large subunit ribosomal RNA", at positions 1978 to 2491 of the family's 2925-position model. The record is from RNAcentral. Lineage: Eukaryota; Dictyochophyceae; Pedinellales.
AUGUUCCGACCUGCACGAAUGGCGUAACGACUUCCCCACUGUCUCCAGGAUAUGCUCAGCGAAAUUGAAUUCUCCGUGAAGAUGCGGAGUACCCGCGGUUAGACGGAAAGACCCCGUGCACCUUUACUGCAGCUUCAGAGUGGCAUUAGGAAAGAGUUGUGUAGCAUAGGUGGGAGGCUUUGAAACUUGGGCGCCAGUCCGAGUGGAGCCAUAGGUGAAAUACCACCCUGCUGUUUUCUGAUGUCUAACCAACUACCGUUAUCCGGUAGUGGGACCCUCUGUGGCGGGUAGUUUGACUGGGGCGGUCGCCUCCUAAAGAGUAACGGAGGCGCGCGAUGGUAGGCUCAGGCCGGUUGGAAACCGGCUGCGAGAGUGCAAUGGCAUAAGCCUGCCUGACUGCGAGACCGACAGGUCGAGCAGAGACGAAAGUCGGUCAUAGUGAUCCGGUGGUCCCUCGUGGAAGGGCCAUCGCUCAACGGAUAAAAGGUACGCCGGGGAUAACAGGCUGAUACUGC